Molecule: ribosomal RNA, 115 nt
Filed under: Halobacillus alkaliphilus
Lineage: Bacteria; Bacillati; Bacillota; Bacilli; Caryophanales; Bacillaceae
Description: 23S rRNA. Bacterial LSU
Rfam family: Bacterial large subunit ribosomal RNA
Source: RNAcentral
UCCCCUUACGCCAAGUAAGUAAGAUCCCUCAGAGACGAUGAGGUUGAUAGGUCCGAGGUGGAAGCGUGGUGACACGUGGAGCUGACGGAUACUAAUGGAUCGAUGACUUAUCUAU